AUGGCACGAAUCAAUGUGUUAUUUUAUCAGGUAGCAAUAUGUCCUAGUGCAGUCAGAGGGGAAGAGCCAGGGCCAAAGACGGUGCAGGUGUAUUUGCCUGCUUCUCCAUCUGUGGGUCUCUCCAGGGUCAGACUGAGGUCUCCAGUUUUCAGCAGAUCUUCAUUCAUCUUUGUUCGGUCUCUGUAAACCUGGUGCUGUUCUUCAGGCCGAUAAGAGCCAUUCUUAUACACGUGGACCUUUUCAAAAUUACUGUCCAUCCACUCCACUUUAGCGUCUUCAGGGAGGAGACGUGUGGUUUUGCAGGCCAGCUGAACAGACUCCACCCCUGAAUCCACCUCCACCUGGGGGACUGAGAGGACAACAAAGGACAACAUGAGUUGUACAGACAGAAGCAGCAGCACUAAGAAUAUUUUCUUUGACUGAAAUAUUGAACAGAAUUAACAUUUCAACAAAAAGAGGAAGUAAAAUAAAAAUGUCAGACUGAUACUGAUGAAUUAAAACUUUGAUGUAAUGGAAAUGGUAAAUGUAAAAGCCUGUGUAUUAUUUCACUGUUUCACUUGUUGUUGUGAUAGAUUUUAUUUAUCAGGUACAAACCACUCCUGUAGCUGUCACAUUGAAAUGUAAUUAUUAUGUGAUUGCAAUGUUCAAAAUUGGUUGUUUAAUCUGGUUUCAUGUGUGUUAUUUCCACCUACUGGUGGACUUGAGAGUUGUGCUUAUGGUGCGCAUUCUUUUGGCGGAUGUUCAAUUCAGUGCAUAUCCUGCCAGAGACUCAAGCCAGAAAGAGCAGGCUGGCCAUGUAUAAGACGAAAAUAUGGACACUGUGGACUGAAAGUCCUCGUGGAUGUUUGGCAGAAAGGCGCACACGGUAUGUUUGUGUAUUUUACUUUGUGUACGUUUUAUUUGUAUUGUAAUUUUAUUUUGCUGAUAUAAUAUCUGUCUUCAUUUCUUAUUUUACUUUUCCUCUGGAAAAGGUGAAAAAUUUUGCUUCAUCCAAUAAAGCCAAAAAUC
RNAcentral lists this long non-coding RNA (1008 nucleotides) under Oreochromis niloticus (Nile tilapia). RNAcentral's name for it is "lncRNA (ENSONIG00000033028.1)". The record is from RNAcentral. Lineage: Eukaryota; Metazoa; Chordata; Actinopteri; Cichliformes; Cichlidae.